GAGUUUGAUCAUGGCUCAGGAUGAACGCUAGCGGCAGGCUUAACACAUGCAAGUCGAGGGGUAUAGUUCUUCGGAAUUAGAGACCGGCGCACGGGUGCGUAACGCGUAUGCAAUCUACCUUUCACAGAGGGAUAGCCCAGAGAAAUUUGGAUUAAUACCUCAUAGUAUAACGACUCUGCAUGGAGAUGUUAUUAAAGUCACAACGGUGAAAGAUGAGCAUGCGUCCCAUUAGCUAGUUGGUAAGGUAACGGCUUACCAAGGCUACGAUGGGUAGGGGUCCUGAGAGGGAGAUCCCCCACACUGGUACUGAGACACGGACCAGACUCCUACGGGAGGCAGCAGUGAGGAAUAUUGGACAAUGGGCGCAAGCCUGAUCCAGCCAUGCCGCGUGCAGGAUGACGGUCCUAUGGAUUGUAAACUGCUUUUGCACAGGAAGAAACAACGCUACGUGUAGCGUCUUGACGGUACUGUGAGAAUAAGGAUCGGCUAACUCCGUGCCAGCAGCCGCGGUAAUACGGAGGAUCCAAGCGUUAUCCGGAAUCAUUGGGUUUAAAGGGUCCGUAGGCGGUUUAGUAAGU
RNAcentral lists this ribosomal RNA (578 nucleotides) under uncultured bacterium. Its description in RNAcentral is "bacterial SSU rRNA". It matches the Rfam family "Bacterial small subunit ribosomal RNA", at positions 9 to 588 of the family's 1533-position model. The record is from RNAcentral.